GAUGUAGAACCCAAUGGGUCGUAUACAUAUAAAAAUGGAUCAAAGAUCCUUUUGAAAAAUGUUGAUUGAAAUUUUGGAUUCAAUCAGGGUUCCAGUAAGCAUACUAGCAUGUAUGGAAACCCUAGCUCCUUUGGAGAUCAAUUUGAUCUCAUGCCUUACUAGUUUAUUUAGCUCAAUUUGGUGGGCAUUUAGGUUAGGUCAAGCCACCUAGAAAUAGCUAAAAAAUAGGCACC
This 233-nucleotide long non-coding RNA is filed under the name Elaeis guineensis (African oil palm). Its description in RNAcentral is "long non-coding RNA (EGUI_LNC037059)". Lineage: Eukaryota; Viridiplantae; Streptophyta; Magnoliopsida; Arecales; Arecaceae. The record is from RNAcentral.